AGUGAACGCUGGCGGUAGGCCUAACACAUGCAAGUCGAACGGCAGCACAGUAAGAGCUUGCUCUUACGGGUGGCGAGUGGCGGACGGGUGAGGAAUACAUCGGAAUCUACUUUUUCGUGGGGGAUAACGUAGGGAAACUUACGCUAAUACCGCAUACGACCUACGGGUGAAAGCAGGGGAUCUUCGGACCUUGCGCGAUUGAAUGAGCCGAUGUCGGAUUAGCUAGUUGGCGGGGUAAAGGCCCACCAAGGCGACGAUCCGUAGCUGGUCUGAGAGGAUGAUCAGCCACACUGGAACUGGGACACGGUCCAGACUCCUACGGGAGGCAGCAGUGGGGAAUAUUGGACAAUGGGCGCAAGCCUGAUCCAGCCAUACCGCGUGGGUGAAGAAGGCCUUCGGGUUGUAAAGCCCUUUUGUUGGGAAAGAAAAGCAGCAGGUUAAUACCCCGCUGUUCUGACGGUACCCAAAGAAUAAACACCGGCUAACUUCGU
This 491-nucleotide ribosomal RNA is filed under the name uncultured bacterium. RNAcentral describes it as "partial 16S ribosomal RNA". It matches the Rfam family "Bacterial small subunit ribosomal RNA", at positions 29 to 506 of the family's 1533-position model. The record is from RNAcentral.